AGGGAAAGGUGAAAAGAACCCCGGGAGGGGAGUGAAAUAGUACCUGAAACCGUAUGUCUACAAGCAGUCGAAGCGAAAGCGACGGCGUGCCUAUUGAAGAAUGAACCAACGAGUUAUCUGCACUAGCGAGGUUAAGUGGAAGACACGGAGCCGCAGCGAAAGCGAGUCUUAAGAGGGCGCAAGUUAGUGUAGGUAGACCCGAAACCGCAGUGAUCUACCCAUGUCCAGGUUGAAGCGCAGGUAAAAUUGCGUGGAGGACCGAACCGGUGAGCGUUGAAAAGCUUUCGGAUGAGAUGUGGGUAGGGGUGAAAUUCCAAUCGAACGCGGAGAUAGCUGGUUCUCCCCGAAAUAGCUUUAGGGCUAGCCUGAGGUAGUAAGUAUAGGCGGUAGAGCACUGAUCGGGCUAGGGGCCGUAAAGGUUACCGAACCCUGUCAAACUCCGAAUGGAUAUACUGUAGAGCCUUGGAGUCAGACUACGAGUGAUAAGAUCCGUGGUCAAAAGGGAAACAGCCCAGACCACCAGCUAAGGUCCCCAAUGUCGUACUAAGUGGAAAAGGAUGUGGGGUUUCAUAAACAACCAGGAUGUUGGCUCAGAAGCAGCCACCAUUUAAAGAGUGCGUAAUAGCUCACUGGUCGAGAGACCCUGCGCCGAAGAUUCCCGGGGCUAAAGUACGAAACCGAAGCUGUGGCUGUAUACGUAAAGUAUACGGGGUAGGGGAGCGUUCCCAUAGGGUAGAAGUCGAACUGGAAGGUUCGGUGGACUUGUGGGAAGUGAGAAUGUUGGUAUGAGUAGCGAAAAGAAAGGUGAGAAUCCUUUCCACCGAAAGCAUAAGGAUUCCUGAGCAACGAUCGUCGUCUCAGGGUAAGUCGGGACCUAAUCCGAGGCAGAGAGCGUAGGAGAUGGACAACUGGUUGAUAUUCCAGUACCGGUAGUAAUUGUUUGAGCAAUGGAGUGACACAGAAGGGCAGGCAAGCAUGCGAAUGGAAGAGCAUGUGUAAGCGUGUAGGGUGGUGCAUAGGCAAAUCCGUGCACUGAAAGCCUGAGGCGUGAUGCGGAGUGAGCAGAGAUGCGAGCGAAGUUGUUGACCCCACACUGUCGAGAAAAGCUUCUAGUGAGAGAGCUACCGCCCGUACCGUAAACCGACACAGGUAUGCGGGGAGAGAAUCCUAAGGUGCGCGGGAGAACCCUCGUUAAGGAACUCGGCAAAAUGUACCCGUAACUUCGGGAUAAGGGUAGCCACUGUUGUGAAGUCCCAUGCGGAUGGAGCAUAGAGUGGUCGCAGAGAAGAGGCCCAAGCGACUGUUUACCAUAAACACAGGUGCCUGCUAAAGCGAAAGCUGACGUAUAGGUGCUGACACCUGCCCAGUGCCGGAAGGUUAAGGAAGGAUGUUCGGAUUAGUCCAAAGCAUUCGACUGAAGCCCCGGUGAACGGCGGCCGUAACUAUAACGGUCCUAAGGUAGCGAAAUUCCUUGUCGGGUAAGUUCCGACCCGCACGAAAGGUGUAACGAUUUGGGCACUGUCUCAACGAGGGACCCGGUGAAAUUGAAAUACCUGUGAAGAUGCAGGUUACCCGCGACUGGACAGAAAGACCCCAUGGAGCUUUACUGUAACCUGACAUUGGGUUUUGAUACAUUACGUACAGGAUAGGUGGGAGGCAUGGAAAGCUGGACGCUAGUCUGGCUGGAGCCGACGUUGGGAUACCACCCUUGAUGUAUUGAAAUUCUAACCGCGAGAGUAACGAAAUCCGGGACAGUGUCAGGCGGGCAGUUUGACUGGGGCGGUCGCCUCCGAAAGAGUAACGGAGGCGCCCAAAGGUUCCCUCAGCGCGGCCGGAAAUCGCGCGAAGAGUGUAAAGGCAGAAGGGAGCUUGACUGCGAGUCAAACACGACGAGCAGGUACGAAAGUAGGGCUUAGUGAUCCGGUGGUACCGAGUGGAAGGGCCAUCGCUCAACGGAUAAAAGCUACCCUGGGGAUAACAGGCUAAUCUCUCCCAAGAGUCCAUAUCGACGGGGAGGUUUGGCACCUCGAUGUCGGCUCAUCACAUCCUGGGGCUGAAGUCGGUCCCAAGGGUUGGGCUGUUCGCCCAUUAAAGUGGUACGUGAGCUGGGUUCAGAACGUCGUGAGACAGUUCGGUCCCUAUCCAUCGCGGGCGCAAGAGAUUUGAAGGGGGCUGCUCCUAGUACGAGAGGACCGGAGUGGACGAACCGCUGGUGUACCAAUUAUCCCGCCAGGGGUACAGUUGGGUAGCUACGUUCGGAAAGGAUAAACGCUGAAAGCAUCUAAGCGUGAAACCAGCCUUAAGAUGAGAUCUCUCAUAGAGCAAUCUAGU
RNAcentral lists this ribosomal RNA (2331 nucleotides) under human metagenome. Its description in RNAcentral is "bacterial LSU rRNA". It matches the Rfam family "Bacterial large subunit ribosomal RNA", at positions 506 to 2829 of the family's 2925-position model. The record is from RNAcentral.